CGCUCAGGAUGGCAGACUGAAAGAGUGUGAGCUCCUGCCGUCUGGAGUCCCAGGCUCCAGAUCAGCAGUUUUCUGUACAAGGGGUGCUUAUUCGUUUUGGCGUUUGAGUGUGGAGCAAACCCACAAGGCUCAAGCUCUGCUUGUGGAUGAAAAGCACGUGGUUAGUGGUCUGACGUAGGGCUCUGGGGAUGGAGGGCCAGACUUCGAGAUGGAGGCAAGGAAGGGAGGCUUCUCCUUCUCCUACUGGAGGCCUUGAAGAGAACUGGUCCAUCCCCUGCAGAAGUCAGGAUUGUACAUGGAAGGAAAUUUCUUCUACUAUGGGAACUUCAGAGUACAUGCAAGCACCCAUGAGCUCGGCUUGAAUGGAGGGGCGCUGACCAUUGGCUGCAAGGGUGACAAGGAGGAGCUGAGAGAAUGAAGUCCCACAGGUCUGUUCCUGCACCAAAUGCUAGGCUUUGGGCUCAUAUGUGGCUGGGGAGAAUUACAGGUGUAUUGCUGGG
This 500-nucleotide long non-coding RNA is filed under the name Canis lupus familiaris (dog). RNAcentral describes it as "lncRNA (ENSCAFG00000054702.1)". The record is from RNAcentral. Lineage: Eukaryota; Metazoa; Chordata; Mammalia; Carnivora; Canidae.